This 2364-nucleotide long non-coding RNA is filed under the name Marmota monax (woodchuck). The record is from RNAcentral. Lineage: Eukaryota; Metazoa; Chordata; Mammalia; Rodentia; Sciuridae.
CCUGGAGGGUGCCCCUUCCCCACCGGAGCCUCUGCCCAGACCCUCAGCCCGGGGAGUCCACGCCCGCCCCUCCUGUCCCCAGAGCCCUCCUUUCUUCGCCGGGAGGCGGCCGAGCCCGACCCGCCCUUCCGCCGUGCGAACCUCACUCCUUCGUCUGCCAAACAGGCACCACGUCGUCUGCCUUUCAAGGCAUCGAGAGGCGACAAUCAGACGUUGGGGGCAGGGCCCACCACCCAGGGCGCAGCCUGGGCCACCCGAGCCCUCGAUGGACAUCAGCCACGGUGGCCGCAGCGGGGACAACCGGGCUGGGAAGGAGAAAAUCAAGCAGGGUGUCGAGGGUCCGGCCUCAGACGCGCCCACUUCUGGCGGGGAGCUGCGCUGGCCCCACUGAGGAGGCAGUGCUGAGGGCCGCGGCCACCCGCCGACGACGCGCCGGGGCCCGGCUCCUUGCCCACCCGCCCGGAGGAAGAACGCGGAGCGGAGCGGCGGGGGCCGGGCGGGCGGCCAGUUUCCAUGAUGCGCGGGGCGGGCUCGAGGAGGGGCGCUGCGGGCCGGCUUCCAGGCCCAGCGGCCCGGCCGGGCCCCUCGGGAAGAAUUUCCGGCCUGGGAUUGAUUAUAACCCGCCCCUCUCCUGGCCGCGGGACCCCCGGGCUCGCGGGGCAGAGGCGAGGGGGAUGGGCAAUAAUGAGACCCGGCUGUGCGCCCCAGCCGGGGACAAGACUCAAGGAAGUGAUGGGGAGGGGCCGGGUCCCCGAGCCGCUCAGCCCAGCCAGCCUCGAACCCGGCCUCCGGCUUUGUGCAGCCGACCGAAAGCAUCAGCGCCCCCGAAGGCCUUUCCGAGCCCCCGGGAACCAGGCAUCCUCGGGAGGGACCCAGGCCAACCCCAGACGGAGGUUCCUCCCGAGGACCGAGGGAGCACCAGCAGCCCCCAGGUGGCCACAGUGCGUGAGGCCGAAUCCCGCUUCCCCGGCUUCGCCCUGCGGCUCUAAGAGCCAGGUUAGGGCCCGGUUCCUGCCUCCUGAGGACUGAGUUGCGAAGAGCUCUCUGGCUUGCUCGCAGAGGCGCGGCCUCCCUCCUGCCUCCUGCCUCCUCCCUACUCUCAUCUCCUUCGCUUUCCUUUGCUCUGGACCACCCCCAGCGACCCACUCCCCACACACUGCCUCAACCACGCCCCCACUCCUGCCUCCGAACACGCGGCCCUGUCAGGGCUCACUGCUCUUCCUAGGGACACGAGUUCUGGGGGGAAAGCCUGGACCGUCUCCCGCCCUUGCCGACCUCUCCUCUGGUGAUGGCUGUACCACUUUCUCCUCCACCGGCUCCUGGGGCUCGUACCUUGGCUGGUUUCCUCUCUCCCUGGUGGUGGGAAUCUUCCACUUGGGCCACAAGCCCAGCUUCACUCUCAGCAGCUAGACACCUCUCUGGCCCCGUGGUGACCAUCCCCUGUCCCACUCCUUCCCUGUCUCCCCUUCACAAAGUCCCACUGUCACCAGAGUACACUGGUACACUAGGUCACCUUAGGCUGCUGCUGUUUUGUUUAGUUUGCAAUUAUUAUUGCUGUUUUUCCAUGUACAUGACAGUAGAGUGUAUUCUGACAUAUUAGUAUCACUUACUCCUAUUAGAAUCAGGCUGCUUCUCCCCCACCCCUUCAUCCAGCAGUCCAUCAAGUCUUGGAGACUGCCAUUUUCAUCUGGAAUCAACCUCUUAUCCCUUCCCCAUGGCCAUGCUCCUGGUCCAGGCCACCCAUCUGGUCCGGGCCAUCAACCUCCUCUGCCUGGAGAAGGCAUAGUCUUGCCACCUCCUAAUCCCUUCUACCCUUCUGCAGACAGGCACCCAGCAUCUUUCUACCCUGAAUCUGACCCUGUAAUUACCUACUUAAAACCCUCAGUGGCUCCCUGUGUUGUCCAGAUGCAGUUUAAAAUUCCUUCUUGUCUCACAAACUGGCCCUUGGACCUCUCACACUGCUCUCUCCUGGGUGGCUGAGCUUCUUUCUGUCUGUCCCCAGACCCUCUGUGCUCUGGCUUCCAGGCUUGGCAGGAUUCUGGCUGUCAGGAGCAUCUAUUUCCCUUGCCACCACCUCCUCCUCCUUCAGAGCUAUGGGCCUUCUCCUAGCCCCUAGGCCAGGCUAGCCCCUCCUUCACCCUUCAUGACAUGUCCUCAUGUACCAGAAACUUCCCUGUGCACAGCACAGAUGAACUGAAACCAUCAUUUUCAAUUGAGUCCAUUUGUUGUCUGUGGCCAUGACAGGUUGGUCUUGCUUAUCUCUGAAGCCCUGUGCCCAGCAUGAUGUCUGCUCACCGCUGGCCCUCUCCCCCUUGUUAGAGGAAUGUGUGCAAGGCCUGUCUCUCUUACUCUGGGACCCUUUCC